Molecule: ribosomal RNA, 422 nt
Filed under: uncultured bacterium
Lineage: Bacteria
Description: bacterial SSU rRNA
Rfam family: Bacterial small subunit ribosomal RNA
Source: RNAcentral
UAAGGAAUAUUGGUCAAUGGACGCAAGUCUGAACCAGCCAUGCCGCGUGGAGGAUGAAGGCCCUCUGGGUUGUAAACUUCUUUUAUAGGGGAAGAAACCGGACUUUUCUAAGGCCGUUGACGGUACCCUGUGAAUAAGCACCGGCUAACUCCGUGCCAGCAGCCGCGGUAAUACGGAGGGUGCAAGCGUUAUCCGGAUUCACUGGGUUUAAAGGGUGCGUAGGUGGGCAGGUAAGUCAGUGGUGAAAUCUCCAAGCUUAACUUGGAAACUGCCGUUGAUACUAUCUGUCUUGAAUGUAGUGGAGGUGAGCGGAAUAUGUCAUGUAGCGGUGAAAUGCUUAGAUAUGACAUAGAACAUCGAUUGCGAAGGCAGCUCGCUACACUAUUAUUGACACUGAGGCACGAAAGCGUGGGGAUCAAACA